UAAACAUCUUGUCCUGUCCCCAGAACAUUUUCACCAUCAGCAAAGAGUGGGAGAAAGGAUUUUAAAGCCCUGGUAGUGAGCUGCGGCAUUUAAAAAUAUUUAAAGAGGUUUCCAGUCGUGUCCAAGCUGGAGGAGAUAAUGCAUGUCCAUACGUUAAUUUGCACCUAUUGUCUCUUACCCAGAGCCCCGUAGGUGAAGAUGGGUAGAGGUAUUACAUACAUGCAAUUGGCAAGGCAGGGGCUGUAAACACCUCAUUAGUAACAGAUGCAUAUUUGUAUGUGUUGGCACUGCCAUUUACUUCGGAGCACAGAAAAAAAAUACAUCUCUUUGCCAUUUGGCUUGUGCAAUGUGCAGUGAACUGAGCAGAGAUUUUUGCUGUUUUCUCUCGUAAACAUAGUGCUUGUGGAGCCAGUUCCGAGUUGCCUCACCGGCAGACGCCCGUAGCAUCUUGCAGCAUUCUCCAGACUGCGAAGACAAGAAGUCAGGUGAAGCCCAGUGAGCUGUUCUCAUGUGCACGCUAACGUGGAUGAACUAGCAAGCUGCGUUAUGCUGUAGAAAUCGCAGGGUCUUCUCUAUGCAGGUGAAAAUGGGUGAGAAGGAGUACAACUGUUGGAUUUGUGGCAGGAAUUUUCAAACGAAUGAAAGCGUAAGGAUGAAAACAGAAGAAAAGUGUUCAGCACGGACACAGUUAAAUGUGAGUUUCACACUUCUGAAAAG
This 717-nucleotide long non-coding RNA is filed under the name Gallus gallus (chicken). Its description in RNAcentral is "long non-coding RNA NONGGAT003943". Lineage: Eukaryota; Metazoa; Chordata; Aves; Galliformes; Phasianidae. The record is from RNAcentral.